This 33-nucleotide transfer RNA is filed under the name Theromyzon bifarium. RNAcentral describes it as "partial tRNA-Leu". Lineage: Eukaryota; Metazoa; Annelida; Clitellata; Rhynchobdellida; Glossiphoniidae. The record is from RNAcentral.
UUUAAACCCUAAAUAGAAUAAAUUCUCAUAUUA